RNAcentral lists this ribosomal RNA (1343 nucleotides) under Salmonella enterica. Its description in RNAcentral is "partial 23S ribosomal RNA". It matches the Rfam family "Bacterial large subunit ribosomal RNA", at positions 1481 to 2802 of the family's 2925-position model. The record is from RNAcentral. Lineage: Bacteria; Pseudomonadati; Pseudomonadota; Gammaproteobacteria; Enterobacterales; Enterobacteriaceae.
GCUAUGUUGGCCGGGCGACGGUUGUCCCGGUUUAAGCGUGUAGGUGUGUGUUCCAGGUAAAUCCGGUUCACUUUAACACUGAGGCGUGACGACGAGGCACUACGGUGCUGAAGCAACAAAUGCCCUGCUUCCAGGAAAAGCCUCUAAGCAUCAGGUAACACGAAAUCGUACCCCAAACCGACACAGGUGGUCAGGUAGAGAAUACCAAGGCGCUUGAGAGAACUCGGGUGAAGGAACUAGGCAAAAUGGUGCCGUAACUUCGGGAGAAGGCACGCUGACACGUAGGUGAAGUGAUUUACUCAUGGAGCUGAAGUCAGUCGAAGAUACCAGCUGGCUGCAACUGUUUAUUAAAAACACAGCACUGUGCAAACACGAAAGUGGACGUAUACGGUGUGACGCCUGCCCGGUGCCGGAAGGUUAAUUGAUGGGGUCAGCGUAAGCGAAGCUCCUGAUCGAAGCCCCGGUAAACGGCGGCCGUAACUAUAACGGUCCUAAGGUAGCGAAAUUCCUUGUCGGGUAAGUUCCGACCUGCACGAAUGGCGUAAUGAUGGCCAGGCUGUCUCCACCCGAGACUCAGUGAAAUUGAACUCGCUGUGAAGAUGCAGUGUACCCGCGGCAAGACGGAAAGACCCCGUGAACCUUUACUAUAGCUUGACACUGAACAUUGAGCCUUGAUGUGUAGGAUAGGUGGGAGGCUUUGAAGUGUGGACGCCAGUCUGCAUGGAGCCGACCUUGAAAUACCACCCUUUAAUGUUUGAUGUUCUAACGUGGACCCGUAAUCCGGGUUGCGGACAGUGUCUGGUGGGUAGUUUGACUGGGGCGGUCUCCUCCUAAAGAGUAACGGAGGAGCACGAAGGUUGGCUAAUCCUGGUCGGACAUCAGGAGGUUAGUGCAAUGGCAUAAGCCAGCUUGACUGCGAGCGUGACGGCGCGAGCAGGUGCGAAAGCAGGUCAUAGUGAUCCGGUGGUUCUGAAUGGAAGGGCCAUCGCUCAACGGAUAAAAGGUACUCCGGGGAUAACAGGCUGAUACCGCCCAAGAGUUCAUAUCGACGGCGGUGUUUGGCACCUCGAUGUCGGCUCAUCACAUCCUGGGGCUGAAGUAGGUCCCAAGGGUAUGGCUGUUCGCCAUUUAAAGUGGUACGCGAGCUGGGUUUAGAACGUCGUGAGACAGUUCGGUCCCUAUCUGCCGUGGGCGCUGGAGAACUGAGGGGGGCUGCUCCUAGUACGAGAGGACCGGAGUGGACGCAUCACUGGUGUUCGGGUUGUCAUGCCAAUGGCACUGCCCGGUAGCUAAAUGCGGAAGAGAUAAGUGCUGAAAGCAUCUAAGCACGAAACUUGCCCCGA